RNAcentral lists this ribosomal RNA (279 nucleotides) under Vibrio sp. 03_296. Its description in RNAcentral is "partial 16S ribosomal RNA". It matches the Rfam family "Bacterial small subunit ribosomal RNA", at positions 1 to 274 of the family's 1533-position model. Lineage: Bacteria; Pseudomonadati; Pseudomonadota; Gammaproteobacteria; Vibrionales; Vibrionaceae. The record is from RNAcentral.
UUUAAUUGAAGAGUUUGAUCAUGGCUCAGAUUGAACGCUGGCGGCAGGCCUAACACAUGCAAGUCGAGCGGCAGCACAGAGAAACUUGUUUCUCGGGUGGCGAGCGGCGGACGGGUGAGUAAUGCCUGGGAAAUUGCCCUGAUGUGGGGGAUAACCAUUGGAAACGAUGGCUAAUACCGCAUGAUAGCUUCGGCUCAAAGAGGGGGACCUUCGGGCCUCUCGCGUCAGGAUAUGCCCAGGUGGGAUUAGCUAGUUGGUGAGGUAAGGGCUCACCAAGGC